RNAcentral lists this long non-coding RNA (1359 nucleotides) under Equus caballus (horse). RNAcentral's name for it is "lncRNA (ENSECAG00000036276.2)". Lineage: Eukaryota; Metazoa; Chordata; Mammalia; Perissodactyla; Equidae. The record is from RNAcentral.
GUUGACUCUUUUCACUCAGCAUGAAUCCGUGGAGUUCAUCCAAGUCAUUGUGUGUAUUUACCAUUGGUUCCCUUUAUUGCAGAGAAGUAUCUCAUGAUGUUAUACACAACAGUUUCUUUAACCACUCACCUGUUGAAGAACACCAGGGCCGAUUCCAGUUUCUGGCUAACGUGAAUCAAGCUACUAUGGACAUUUCUGUACAGCUCUCAAGCACUGAUAGGCUGAUAGCUUCCAAUUUUCUUAAAACCCCACUGGCUUCUCUGCAUAUUAGCAGUCACACCUCGGCACUCCAGAAUCUCUCUCAGCACCGUGGCGAGGUCAAUUCAACAAAUGUUUAUUGACUACUUACUAUAUGAGGCUAUUUCCAGGGUGUCUUACUGUCCAACCAUGAAAUCAGAGCCACCCGUGUGUUUAAUCUUACAACACAAGAAUGCCAGGACAAGAUUCUCGUCUCCUCCAUGAGCUUCUGCUCCUCCUCUUGCCCCAGAUAUCUGCCCUUUGACCUUCUCAGUUCCUUCCUGCUCUGCUCUGUAUGAGUAAAGGCCCAGGACUGCAACGUAAGUGUGAAUUUGCCUGUCCCAAUCUCUGACAGAUUCCUCAGCCCAGCCCUCAGCACCAAGGGAGUGUCCGGCUGACUCCUCAGUCAGAGAAUGGGAAAAUCCCCACCUUGAGGCGUUUAUUCCAUGUUCGCAGAACUUCAACUAUAUACCAAGUGUGACCCGGUGACUCAACAGAGGAGCUUCUCUCUCUUCAGAAGAGGAGUUCAGAGAUGAGGCAGGCAACCCCAGUGGCUGGGGAACUUCUGCUCCAGGAGAUCAUGCAGAGACCAGCUGCCUCUCUCCGGUUGCUCACCUGACCAUGAGCGUGUCCCCUAGUGGGAGGAGGGAAAGAAGAAGUUAAUGCAAAUACUUUCCUUUCCAAGGAUGUGACAUUGAGUUUGUUCACAUUGUUUCCAUUUGCAUCCCAUUGACCAUAACUUUGUCACAUGGCUUCACCCCACUGGAGGGAGGCUGGAGCCACCUUCUCCAGCUGGACAAAAGGCAACAUAGUGGGGUAACCAAUUAAAGGAAGAGGAGGAGACGACCAGGAGCCAGCGGACAUUCCACUGUCACUGUCACAGACUCUGUCGUUCAGUUUGAUAUCCGAUUAUAAAAUCAUUAUAAAAUACAUUGAAAACAUUCCCCUCACUUGGAUGCUUUUUGACAAUUUAUAAUUCAUAGGAUUUUCCCCUUCCUUAGGAUAAGUCAGACGAAAAUAAUUUGGGAGGUGAGUAUUUCGCACAUGCUGUGAAGGUCUUCCGUGGUUAUGUACGUGCUUAUGCUUUCUCCUUUUUCCAGAGCUAACUUUAGAAUUUUAUAU